RNAcentral lists this transfer RNA (91 nucleotides) under Candidatus Vallotiella hemipterorum. RNAcentral describes it as "Candidatus Vallotia tarda tRNA-Ser". It matches the Rfam family "tRNA". Rfam says of the family: Transfer RNA (tRNA) molecules are approximately 80 nucleotides in length. Their secondary structure includes four short double-helical elements and three loops (D, anti-codon, and T loops). The record is from RNAcentral. Lineage: Bacteria; Pseudomonadati; Pseudomonadota; Betaproteobacteria; Burkholderiales; Burkholderiaceae.
GGAAAGGUGGCAGAGCGGCUGAAUGCGCCGGACUCGAAAUCCGGUAUACGGUUUUCCCGUAUCGGGGGUUCGAACCCCCCCCUUUCCGCCA